AAGUAUAAAAAGAACUUCUAAUUCUUAAAAAGCUACCAGCUAUACUUA
Molecule: transfer RNA, 48 nt
Filed under: Metacrangonyx sp. 3 ssp. 1 MDMBR-2012
Lineage: Eukaryota; Metazoa; Arthropoda; Malacostraca; Amphipoda; Metacrangonyctidae
Description: transfer RNA Serine
Source: RNAcentral